Molecule: long non-coding RNA, 977 nt
Filed under: Coffea arabica (coffee)
Lineage: Eukaryota; Viridiplantae; Streptophyta; Magnoliopsida; Gentianales; Rubiaceae
Description: long non-coding RNA (CARA_LNC002655)
Source: RNAcentral
GGGAGAUUUUUUUCAAGAUUAGACGUGGACGUGGGAUGGGACCAGCCACAUUGUAUUUUUUUGUAUUAAAUUCUUUCACAAAAGUUGAAUAAUAAUCAACGCCUACAAAUAACUACUUGAAAACAAGAUCAGGAGUGCAAGAUAGAAUAGGAGGCAUUUCAAGAUUGGGUAGGAUGGGAGCCCACCGCAUUGAACUUUUAUGGUCCCCGCCAGAUUGCCUUUCAUAUGUAGAGGAAUCUUUGCAGUCCAAAGACUUAGUAAACUAAUUGAUAGGCAUAUACGGAUGGAUUACCAUCCCACGUCGGAAGAUUGUGGGGUAUUUAUCCUGGGUUUAAGGUCUCCAGACUUCUCGACCAGUUACCAAUUAGCUGGAUCUGAAAGUUUGGUGCAUCCCACGUCGGAAGAUUGUGGGGUAUUUAUCCUGGGUUUAAGGUCUCCAGACUUCUCGACCAGUUACCAAUUAGCUGGAUCUGAAAGUUUGGUGGAUCCCCUUAGAUUGCUUAGGCCAGUCUUUCCGUUAACUCUCUGAAUCUAAUUAUCUGCUUAUCUUUGAAAAAAAAAGGAUGGAUUAAAGUCCAAAUUGUGCUAGUCCAAAGACUUGCGUAGUGAACGAGUCAAUCAAUUGGAGAAACGUCCAAAUGCCAAGCUUUUUAGGUAACUAGCUAGGUACAAUGCAAUAAAUCUAGUUGUGUUAUUCAUGGCACUAAAUAUGUGUAAGACGAUUAGCAUGCUGUGCCUCUUUUACAUCUAUCUGUUCCAGGCAAAUUGAAUGGAUAGCUCCUUAGACAUAUAAUGAGCAUCCAGGAAAUUGUUAUCAAGCUAAUUUUGAAGUUUGAUGGAAGAAUUGAAUGAAAUUAACAAUUGAGUUCUUCAACAUGUGACAAUAAUGUGAGUCCUUUUGGAAUAAACAACCAAAUAGUUUCUAGCUCUGGUCAGUUUAUGGGUGAAGCUCCUGUGCUCUUGGCUAUCUUUGCUCU